CACGGGGGGAGCAAGCGUUGUUCGGAGUUACUGGGCGUAAAGAGUGCGUAGGCGGUUUUCUAAGUUUGGUGUGAAAUCUCCCGGCUUAACUGGGAGGGUGCGCCGAAAACUGGAAGGCUUGAGUAUGGGAGAGGAAGCGGAAUUCCUGGUGUAGCGGUGAAAUGCGUAGAUAUCAGGAGGAACACCUGCGGUGUAGACGGCUUACUGGACCAUAACUGACGCUGAGGCACGAAAGCGUGGGUAGCAAACAGG
Molecule: ribosomal RNA, 252 nt
Filed under: uncultured bacterium
Lineage: Bacteria
Description: partial 16S ribosomal RNA
Rfam family: Bacterial small subunit ribosomal RNA
Source: RNAcentral